Molecule: ribosomal RNA, 497 nt
Filed under: uncultured bacterium
Lineage: Bacteria
Description: partial 16S ribosomal RNA
Rfam family: Bacterial small subunit ribosomal RNA
Source: RNAcentral
GAUGAACGCUGGCGGCGUGCCUAAUACAUGCAAGUCGAGCGAACAGACGAGGAGCUUGCUCCUCUGACGUUAGCGGCGGACGGGUGAGUAACACGUGGAUAACCUACCUAUAAGACUGGGAUAACUUCGGGAAACCGGAGCUAAUACCGGAUAACAUGUUGAACCGCAUGGUUCAACAGUGAAAGACGGUCUUGCUGUCACUUAUAGAUGGAUCCGCGCCGCAUUAGCUAGUUGGUAAGGUAACGGCUUACCAAGGCAACGAUGCGUAGCCGACCUGAGAGGGUGAUCGGCCACACUAGAACUGAGACACGGUCCAGACUCCUACGGGAGGCAGCAGUAGGGAAUCUUCCGCAAUGGGCGAAAGCCUGACGGAGCAACGCCGCGUGAGUGAAGAAGGUCUUCGGAUCGUAAAACUCUGUUAUUAGGGAAGAACAAAUGUGUAAGUAACUAUGCACGGCUUGACGGUACCUAGUCAGAAAGCCACGGCUAACUACGUG